CUUAUGUAUUUGAUAAACGUAUUCAGCAUGCUGAUAGCACAAUAUGAUAAUAAUCAGCCCAUAGAGCGGUGUUUAGGUGGGAUAAAAUGAACAAUAAUUGAUUUGUUGAUAUUUUUUGAUAUCUAUUUCAUUACACAAGAAGUUUCAUGUAGGGCUCAUUCAUUAUUAAUUCUGACAUAAUCAUAUAAGCCAUUAUAGCAGAAAAAUGCCCAAUUUAACAGCUAUGGAAAUCCAUAAAACAGCUUGAAAUCCAAAUUCAAUGAUGUAUACCAAAACGUUGAAAACACAUGACAGAUUGAACCAAAGACAAAAUAAUUAAACGAUAUUUAAAUUAAUUCCUAUUUUAGCUUUGUGCGCUAGAACUAAAAAUAAAAAUAUCAACUUCGUUCAUACCGCAGAUAAUAUCUGUGUUCAUACGUUCAGUAUUUCUGCAGAGGCCAUGUUUGGAUUCUGACAUGUGUGACCUUAAGUAUUCGGCGGCGCUUAUUGCUCGCCGCCGCCGCCCACCACCCAUUAUCAAAAAAGGCCUUUCAUUUGACAUAUCUCACCCGUAUUAUGCAUAUUAUAGUAGGAUUUUGGAGUAUUAUAGCAUGCGUAGUAGGAUUUUGGAUUGAUUUUUUCUACGUGUCGGGAUCAUCGUGAUACAGUUUUCAUCAUUUUCAAGCGGUAUACCGGUAUAAAAGAAGGAAAACCAAGUUAUCUCCGAAAAUCCGCGGAGAAUAAAGUCAACCGAGAGCUAGUAGACUCCGUAACUACCAGAAAGACGAAACCCAGAGGACAAUUUAAGAUCCGUGCAAAUAAUCAUCCGCAUAAAACAACCAGUCUCCCGCAACCAAUCAGGCUUCGUUAUGCGUGGGCGGUUGGGAUCCAGUUGUGCUGCCAUCCAUGGGACGUCGAGGAGAUUUUAGGGUUGCAGUAAGCAAGGCGGGUUCAGCUGGACACAGUGUAAUGAACCAGCCUUGGUAGCUCUAAUUUCCUUUAAACAAAAUCGGGAUUUCUCUUGAAGUCAAUCGUGUCGAACUUCCACUACGGAACGCACCAAUCCGAUCGAGGAUUGGAUUUCUCCUAGACCCAACCGGGUCGAACGUCCACUACGGAACGUACCAAUCCGAUCAAGGAUUGGAUUUCUUCUAGACCCAACCGGGUCGAACGUCCACUACGGAACGCACCAAUCCGAUCAAGGAUUGGAUUUCUCCUAGACCCAACCGGGUCGAACGUUCACUACGGAACGCACCAAUCCGAUCGAGGAUUGGAUUUCUCCUAGACCCAACCGGGUCGAACGUCCACUACGGAACGCACCAAUUCGAUCAAGGAUUGGAUUUCUUCUAGACCCAACCGGGUCGAACGUCCACUACGGAACGCACCAAUCCGAUCAAGGAUUGGAUUUCUCCUAGACCCAACCGGGUCGAACGUUCACUACGGAACGCACCAAUCCGAUCAAGGAUUGGAUUUCUCCUAGACCCAACCGGGUCGAACGUCCACUACGGAACGCACCAAUCCGAUCGAGGAUUGGAUUUCUCCUAGACCCAACCGGGUCGAACGUCCACUACGGAACGCACCAAUCCGAUCAAGGAUUGGAUUUCUCCUAGACCCAACCGGGUCGAACGACCACUACGGAACGCACCAAUCCGAUCAAGGAUUGGAUUUCUCCUAGACCCAACCGGGUCGAACGUCCACUACGGAACGCACCAAUCCGAUCGAGGAUUGGAUUUCUCCUAGACCCAACCGGGUCGAACGUCCACUACGGAACGCACCAAUCCGAUCAAGGAUUGGAUUUCUCCUAGACCCAACCGGGUCGAACGUCCACUACGGAACGCACCAAUUCGAUCAAGGAUUGGAUUUCUUCUAGACCCAACCGGGUCGAACGUCCACUACGGAACGCACCAAUCCGAUCAAGGAUUGGAUUUCUCCUAGACCCAACCGGGUCGAACGUCCACUACGGAACGCACCAAUCCGAUCAAGGAUUGGAUUUCUCCUAGACCCAACCGGGUCGAACGUCCACUACGGAACGCACCAAUCCGAUCGAGGAUUGGAUUUCUCCUAGACCCAACCGGGUCGAACGUCCACUACGGAACGCACCAAUCCGAUCAAGGAUUGGAUUUCUUCUAGACCCAACCGGGUCGAACGUCCACUACGGAACGCACCAAUCCGAUCAAGGAUUGGAUUUCUCCUAGACCCAACCGGGUCGAACGUUCACUACGGAACGCACCAAUCCGAUCGAGGAUUGGAUUUCUCCUAGACCCAACCGGGUCAAACUUCCACUACGGAACGCACCAAUCCGAUUAAGGAUUGGAUUUCUCCUAGACCCAACCGGGUCGAACGUCCACUACGGAACGCACCAAUCCGAUCGAGGAAUGGAUUUUUCCUAGACCCAAGCGGGUCGAACGUCCACUAUGGAACGUGUACAUUCCUAUAAAUAAUUCGAUAACAAAUAGUCACACUGGUUUACCUUGCACAAUGGUCGAAAAAAAAAAAAAAACUUCGGCCAAAACUGUUUUUCGUCUCUAUUAAAAAAUGUUGAAUCUUAAUGUGCUGCUCAGUGUUAUAGAAGGGACUGUUCAUAUAUUGCAUAACUUUUUGAGUCGCAUACUUAUGUAUUCGAAAGUUUAUCAACAAAUGUAUGAAGAGUAGAUAAACGGUAUUUUUUUUUUAAUUUAUUACUAUUAUUUCUAUUAUCGAGACUUUCAGCCGGUGACUGGUUUGUCUACAUAUUUAUAUGAAUUUAUUUUGAAAUAUUUUGUCAGAAAAUAUGUACAAUACUAUUUUUCUCGAAGAGCAAUUUUCAGCGCAAAGGAAAAAGACAUUUUUAAUGCGAUCUAAAAAUGCAUUUAAGUAUGUACAAUUUAAAAUGAGAACAACAUAAGUUGUUUUUAAGUUGAAAUUUAUCAAAAUAUUACAAAAACUUCAAUUAAAUAUUUUUUAUUUAUCCUGAUGUGCCAUAAAAGUAUUAAACAAGCUUUCAGAUGGUGCUGGUGCAUAGCAUUAGGAAAUUAUUUUAAUCCUAAUAUCUUAAAAUUUCAAUUUAUUUCAAUGUCACAUCUUUUAUUUAUUUUUUAGCCAAUUCAACGACGAAAUUUAAAUUUUAGUAUGAUUUCUAUAGAGGAUCAUAAGAAUAUAAUUUAUAAUGUUAAAAACAAAUAAAAACUGAAACUUUCAAAUUCA
This 3162-nucleotide long non-coding RNA is filed under the name Aedes aegypti (yellow fever mosquito). RNAcentral's name for it is "lncRNA AAEL027900". The record is from RNAcentral. Lineage: Eukaryota; Metazoa; Arthropoda; Insecta; Diptera; Culicidae.